AGCGAACGCUGGCGGCAGGCUUAACACAUGCAAGUCGAGCGGGCACUUCGGUGUCAGCGGCAGACGGGUGAGUAACACGUGGGAACGUACCCUUUGGUUCGGAAUAACGCUGGGAAACUAGCGCUAAUACCGGAUACGCCCUUUUGGGGAAAGGCUUGCUGCCGAAGGAUCGGCCCGCGUCUGAUUAGCUAGUUGGUGGGGUAAUGGCCUACCAAGGCGACGAUCAGUAGCUGGUCUGAGAGGAUGAUCAGCCACACUGGGACUGAGACACGGCCCAGACUCCUACGGGAAGCAGCAGUGGGGAAUAUUGGACAAUGGGCGCAAGCCUGAUCCAGCCAUGCCGCGUGAGUGAUGAAGGCCUUAGGGUUGUAAAGCUCUUUUGUCCGGGACGAUAAUGACGGUACCGGAAGAAUAAGACCCGGCUAACUUCGUG
This 433-nucleotide ribosomal RNA is filed under the name uncultured bacterium. RNAcentral describes it as "partial 16S ribosomal RNA". It matches the Rfam family "Bacterial small subunit ribosomal RNA", at positions 29 to 507 of the family's 1533-position model. The record is from RNAcentral.